Molecule: long non-coding RNA, 1285 nt
Organism: Canis lupus familiaris (dog)
Lineage: Eukaryota; Metazoa; Chordata; Mammalia; Carnivora; Canidae
Exons: 5
Source: RefSeq, a predicted model, not a curated record
AGCCUCGUGCCGCGGCCCUCGGGGCUCGGCUGGCGACCUCGCGUGGGGAGGAGGCGCUGAGGCAGCGCAGGAGGCCGGCGGCGGGCUCCGACACCUGUGGGUCCGGGUGCCAGUGGGCACCGUCGACCAGUGUCCGGCUCUGCGGCGCCGGGUCUUCUCGGCAGUCGGGCUGCCAGCGGCAAGAGUAAGAAUUUAGUGAUUCAUCAGUUGAAGUAAUCAGCACUUGGGUGUUGUAUGCUAUCACUUCUAAACAAAGUACCAGGUAUUCCUGCCAAUUUCUUGCAAGUCUGAUCUGAUCUUGGUGUGUUUACUUCUUGGAGGACCUGAAUGAACACAGGAGAUACAUCUAGAAAGAACCUUCUCGAUUUUUAAUUCUAGAUAUGAGGUCCACAGGAUUGCUGGUGCUUCCUUUAAUGGAGAGGCAUUGUGCUCUGCGCUUCUGUUGGAAAAACCUGUAAUGUUAUCUAUUGUGUGUCAGAUACUGGAGAUAUACCAGUUAAGAAAACAGAGAAAGGAAACCCAUCCCUCUUGGAGCUUGUAUCUUGUGGUUAAGACAAACAACUUAAUUAGAGAUGAUUAUUUGACAAUAAACUAAUGUGGCUUUUUUUUUCACAGAUCCCAACCCCAAACAUGUUUCCCAAAUCGAAUCACACUCCUCUGCAGCCAUUCCACCAAUAUGGUCCCUACCUAAAGAAGGGACACAUUGUAAAGGGGAAACUCCCUGCAGAGAAGAUGAACUAAAAGGAAGCACUUUUAUGGAGAUAGGGGUAUGGAGGUGGGAAGGUGUAGUAGAAGUAUUCACAUUGGGAGAAGAGUGACCUGAGAUGCUUUGAGCUUAGUGGAAGGACAAGCCUAGGAGAAGCUCUGUGUUUGACAUGGAGAUGGAGAAGGGAGAGUGGGUAGCAGGGGAACAUCUCUGAAGGCAAGUGUCUAGGUAGAUCUUCUCAAAUAAUGCUGCUGGUUCCCAGUGGUCUGUACCUAUAAUAUAAAAGAUGCGAAGUUCACAUAUGGCCCCAGAAUAUUGUGAACACAGCAAGACCCAGACACUCCAGGGUCAUCGAGAUGAUGGCUAUCAUGGAGGUCAGUGUCCCCAGAGUUCUGGUGGUAGUGUUUGUUCGUCCCAAAUGGAUUCCAGAAGGAUAGAAACUGACAAGGAUGGAUUAGAGAUAAACAAAAUGAAACAGCUUAACUGAAGGCCAGUAGAAAAAGAGCAUGGACACCAGCUGUACCUCCAUGUCACCAGGGAAGAGUAAUAAACUUUCCCUUAUACCAGGACAUGGUGGUU